AGGAAAUAGGAAGUGACAUCACUGGCCUCCAGAGGAGCCAUUUCGAAAAGCUGGAAAAACUGUCCUCAACAACAUAUCCCAAAAAUACACCCCAGAUGAAGCCAGCAGAGCUGACACAAGCAUCAAAGAUGGAGGAAGCCGGGGUGAAAACGGCACUUGGGCACAGACAUAGUCGAGGGACGAUGGAAGGAUUUGUUCAGUCAGGUAGAGACUAUGAGUGUCUGUGGCUUUAAAUGACCUCAUAGAUUCCUGGUACUUGACAAAAUACAAAUACGUCAAGGUUAUUAAUUUGUGGCCUGGAAUUCCAGUAGUGUAAGAUGCCAUGUACAGUCACCCCUCCUAUAAACUACUGUACUGCAUUGUACAAAUUCCUUUGACGAACAUGAUGAUGGCGAUCGUAUUGAAAAAGGCCCUCAAACAAUUGUGGCACAGACGCAAACAAUUGUGGAUGGCAGACGACAGGAUGUUAGCGCAGACACUGCCAACAUGCUUCCUCAAACAACACAUGCAUGCAGACACACAGACACUGACUGACAAAAAUGAGAUGAAGAACUGGGCAGUCAGAAAAUUAUUUUAUUAUUUAAAUUAAAUU
This is a long non-coding RNA of Sinocyclocheilus rhinocerous, 592 nucleotides long. RefSeq lists it as uncharacterized. The record is from RefSeq and is a predicted model, not a curated record. Lineage: Eukaryota; Metazoa; Chordata; Actinopteri; Cypriniformes; Cyprinidae. The transcript is spliced from 4 exons.